AGGAUUCUUCAGGGAUAUGUGAAAUUCAUUACCGGCGGUAACAGUCCGCGAGCCAUGAGAAUGGUUGAUUUGGUGUAAUUCCAAAACCGACAGUAAAGUCUGGAAGAGAGAAGAAAAUC
Molecule: regulatory RNA element, 119 nt
Organism: Lachnospiraceae bacterium 2_1_46FAA
Lineage: Bacteria; Bacillati; Bacillota; Clostridia; Lachnospirales; Lachnospiraceae
Rfam family: FMN riboswitch aptamer (RFN element)
About the family: The RFN element is a highly conserved domain that is found frequently in the 5'-untranslated regions of prokaryotic mRNAs that encode for flavin mononucleotide (FMN) biosynthesis and transport proteins. This element is a metabolite-dependent riboswitch that directly binds FMN in the absence of proteins.
Source: Rfam